ACUUGUAGACCACAGGGUGUGGUGAACAGGGCUUCCCGUCUGCUCAGCCAUACUUAAGCCACAGCCGGUAGGUUAGUAGUAUGGUAGGUGACCACAUGUAAAUCCCUACUAUUAUAUGUU
RNAcentral lists this ribosomal RNA (120 nucleotides) under Aspergillus calidoustus. The record is from RNAcentral. Lineage: Eukaryota; Fungi; Ascomycota; Eurotiomycetes; Eurotiales; Aspergillaceae.